ACAGCAGCCGCCGCGGGAAUACAGAGGGUGCAAGCGUUAAUCGGAAUUACUGGGCGUAAAGCGCGCGUAGGUGGUUUGUUAAGUUGGAUGUGAAAUCCCCGGGCUCAACCUGGGAACUGCAUCCAAAACUGGCAAGCUAGAGUAUGGUAGAGGGUGGUGGAAUUUCCUGUGUAGCGGUGAAAUGCGUAGAUAUAGGAAGGAACACCAGUGGCAAAGGCGACCACCUGGACUGAUACUGACACUGAGGUGCGAAAGCGUGGGGAGCAAACAGGAUUAGAUACCCCAGUAGUCCCUGUCUCUUAUAC
This 305-nucleotide ribosomal RNA is filed under the name uncultured bacterium. RNAcentral's name for it is "partial 16S ribosomal RNA". It matches the Rfam family "Bacterial small subunit ribosomal RNA", at positions 508 to 807 of the family's 1533-position model. The record is from RNAcentral.